ACAGUGGUGCUUCAGUGGUAGAAGCCUCACCUUCCAUGUGGUACAUCUGGGUUUGAUUCCCAGCCAAUGUG
This 71-nucleotide transfer RNA is filed under the name Loxodonta africana (African savanna elephant). It matches the Rfam family "tRNA". Rfam says of the family: Transfer RNA (tRNA) molecules are approximately 80 nucleotides in length. Their secondary structure includes four short double-helical elements and three loops (D, anti-codon, and T loops). Further hydrogen bonds mediate the characteristic L-shaped molecular structure. tRNAs have two regions of fundamental functional importance: the anti-codon, which is responsible for specific mRNA codon recognition, and the 3' end, to which the tRNAs corresponding amino acid is attached (by aminoacyl-tRNA synthetases). tRNAs cope with the degeneracy of the genetic code in two manners: having more than one tRNA (with a specific anti-codon) for a particular amino acid; and 'wobble' base-pairing, i.e. permitting non-standard base-pairing at the 3rd anti-codon position. The record is from Rfam by way of RNAcentral. Lineage: Eukaryota; Metazoa; Chordata; Mammalia; Proboscidea; Elephantidae.